CUAAACGUCAGACGAUGAAGCCCAGCUUGCUGGGUGGUUAGUGGCGACGGGUGAGUAACACGUGAGUAACCUGCCCUUAACUCUGGGAUAAGCCUGGGAAACUGGGUCUAAUACCGGAUAGGAGCGUCCACCGCAUGGUGGGUGUUGGAAAGAUUUAUCGGUUUUGGAUGGACUCGCGGCCUAUCAGCUUGUUGGUGAGGUAAUGGCUCACCAAGGCGACGACGGGUAGCCGGCCUGAGAGGGUGACCGGCCACACUGGGACUGAGACACGGCCCAGACUCCUACGGGAGGCAGCAGUGGGGAAUAUUGCACAAUGGGCGAAAGCCUGAUGCAGCGACGCCGCGUGAGGGAUGACGGCCUUCGGGUUGUAAACCUCUUUCAGUAGGGAAGAAGCGAAAGUGACGGUACCUGCAGAAGAAGCACCGGCUAACUACGUGCCAGCAGCCGCGGUAAUACGUAGGGUGCGAGCGUUAUCCGGAAUUAUUGGGCGUAAAGAGCUCGUAGGCGGUUUGUCGCGUCUGUCGUGAAAGUCCGGAGCUUAACCCCGGAUCUGCGGUGGGUACGGGCAGACUAGAGUGCAGUAGGGGAGACUGGAAUUCCUGGUGUAGCGGUGGAAUGCGCAGAUGUCAGGAGGAACACCGAUGGCGAAUGCAGGUCUCUGCACUGUAACUGACGCUGAGGAGCGAAAGCAUGGGGAGCGAACAGGAUUAGAUACCCUGGUAGUCCAUGCAGUAAACGUUGGAGCACUAGGUGUGGGGACCAUUCACCGGUUUCGGCGCCGCAGCUAACGCAUUAUGUGCCCCGCCUGGAGAGUACGGGCGCUAGGCUAAAACUCAAAUGAUAUU
Molecule: ribosomal RNA, 845 nt
Filed under: bacterium MD4
Lineage: Bacteria
Description: bacterial SSU rRNA
Rfam family: Bacterial small subunit ribosomal RNA
Source: RNAcentral